CCUAAGUCCCAGCAAGCCUCUAUUAGGUGGUAUAUUCAGCGCUCUGGAGAAGAACAUCGAGAAGAGCUGAAGGCUGAUGAAAGGAUCAUCAAAACAGAGCAUGGGUUGCUGAUCCGCAGCUUGCAAAGAAGGGAUGCAGGAGCCUAUUUCUGCAAAGCUCAGGAGCACACCUUUGUCCAUACCAUUGUGAAGCUGAAUCUCAACAUCAUUGAGAAUGGGCAAAUGGAAAGCACUCAGAAAACUGAGGAUGAGGAGGGCCGGGUUAGGGAUUUGCUGACAGAGUCCCGGCUGAGGUACAAGGACUACAUCCAGCUUGUCAGCAGCCCCAGCUUUAGCCUGGAUGAAUACUGUGAACAGAUGUGGCACCGAGAGAAGCGGCGGCAGCGGAACAAAGGUGGUGCCAAAUGGAAGCAUGUGCAGGAGAUGAAAAAAAAGCGAAACCGAAGGCACCAUGAGCCAGCCAGGCCACCAUCUACGUAGUUUGUAAAUGCUAUUUAAAGAAGGGACAUUUUCCAUAGAGAAAAACAAAUACUGUGUUUUCGUUUUGUGCAUCUUGCCUAUGAAUUAGUACUGCUUCUUAUUGAAAUCAGAUAAUUCACCAUCACUAUUAAUCUGUAUGAGACUGUACAAGGGGAUUUGAUAUCAAAUGAGAUGUUCCUUAUUGGAGUACCACACACCAGGCAAUAAUUUCAAAUGCGUUCAUUAAAAAGAAAAGAUGUACACUUUUAGGUAAUUUCUGGGUAUCCUGAAGCUACGUGAGCUGUGUUCUGUACUUUCUGCAUAAUUUUAACAUAGGGUUUAGUGUCUGUGUUCCCAUGUUGAUAUUUGCUGCCACAUUCCACCCCAGAGGUGGCUACAUUUCAGGAGAGUGCAGAUGUAUUUCUAGUUCUUUGGCAUCUUUCUGAAUAAGAAGCAUGGUAGAAAUGUGUGACAGAUCUGCAAAAAUACCCUCUAAUUUACCCAUUGGGCUUGUAUACAGGCACAUGGGUGGGUUUGCUAGCACAGAGAGGCACAGCAAAAAAUCAAAUUAAGUAUUGGCUUAGGGACAGCAUUCAUUCUCUCCAUAAAAAAGGAGAAAGCAUAAUUGUAGUUUAAGAGAGGGGAAUUAUUGAGCAUCACUCAUUAGAGUUUGAGUAGCCUCCAGUUUGCCAUCCAUCUGCUGAAAUGAAAUGUUGACUUUAAUUGAAACUGCCACCAAGAUGCUUGGUAGUAAAUUUCCUAAGUGGUCCGUGGGAGGUAUAUGCAUAAAUCCUAUUAGCAAAUAACAGGAUUCCUGCCUGCACCUCUCCUGUAUCUCCAAAGGUGUGACUCUGUCUUUUUCUUUGGCCCUUUGCUAGCUUUGUUUUAUGCAGAGGAAAAGGAAAAUAAAAGACAACAACAAAGCUAAAACAAAAGACGAUGAGGGAAAAUAUUUAGUGGCUGAGACCAGUGCUCUUGACACAGAGCUGACAUUCCUCAGAUGUGUGUAUUCUUUGGGAUUUUCUCUCAAAGGUCUUAUGUAUUUUUAAGUUGAAAAUUUGCAUUGUUGGGAUUAAUACUUUUAUUAUAAUUAAAUAAAACAGAAGGUGUCCAUGUGUAAAUAAAACCUGUAAGUUAGAAAUUUACUAUAUACUACAAUUUCAUUUGUAAAGAGUUCCUUGUUCCUUGGUUCAUAUUUUAGUUUUAACAGUGUAAUUUUUUCCAUACAAACAGGCAACACUGGCCUCAUUCUUAUCUAUUUUACAUCAGUGUCAUUUCAUUGAUUUUAUUCCUGAUAUGCCGCAACAAACACAAGCUCAAAAUCAGUCCUACUGUCUCUUCUCAUGAGUCACAGCCCCCUUUUCCCCUCUUCCAUCUAACCUCCCUCGUUUUGCCUUUCACGCCUUUUUGAGUGUGAAAUGACAAAUUAGCCACUUCCUCACAUGGAAGAGAGCUUUGAUGGAUACCAAAACGACAGGCUUUACUUGUUUCUCAUGCAUUCUACAGAUCUUGAGAGCAAAGUCUGUGGGAAACCCGAGUAAUUGGUGUGCACCUCAUUAAGGAACCAAAAAUGUUGGCUCUGAAAGUUGUAGAUUUGCCCUCACCCUUGCUAGUGUUUGUGUGUGCAUUCAGUCCCUGGUCUAUAAUUGCGUAGGUCCAGUUUAUGUCGUUGUUCAUUUCCUCUCUGUUGAAAGUCAGAUAUGGCAAAGUGUUUGUCAGAUUCAGAAAGGAAUCUUGGCUUACCCACGUUUCUUGUAAAACCUGAAAGCUGAGUUUGCAUGUGUUGUAUAAAAGCCAGCCAUACCAUAUGUCAUUAAUUUUAGAUGCUUUUUUUUAAUAGAAGAUGUAUGAGUUAAUUAGGAGAUAUUAGAUAGCAUGCGUACAAUGCUUUGAUAGUGUAAAGCACUGAGUGCUAACUAUUAUAAAAUAGGUCUGGGGGGGAGGGAGUUUCUCAGCACAGGACCUUUAAUCAUCAGAAAGAGUGAUGCUGCAGACAUUAACCAGUCAUACAGUACUUCAAGAAUAAGCAGAUGACUUUUUGGCAUUUGUACUGCAAAAUAAUGUAGGCCAGGCAUUUCACAAGAGUCUCGUCAUUUUGGGUACCUUGAUUUUAAGGCCAAUUAAGACUACUUAAAGGAGGUAUGGGGGGGUAUUAAACUACUACAUAUAAAGCACCCUGUGACAGGGAUAUUCAAUACUCUUGGCUGGAAGGUUAUGCUGACACCAUAUGGAACCUACCUAAUUACUCCUUAUUAGAUUUUUAUCAGCCCACAAAGUCCCAUUUUUCCGACCUGGACAUUAAGUAAAUGAGUGGAACCACACUUAGGCUAUGGGCUAAAAGGUGGUCCUCACUCACAUGCACUGACAAAGGACCUCCUCUUCUCCCCAGUGUUAAUACAGUACUGCAAUUAUUGCAUUUCACACAACUCUCAUCACCUUUGCCUACUUCAUAAAAAGCAAAUCAAUUUCUUCUGCUGUAUUUUAUUCUCCUCCAUGAAAACGAAAUAAUUUGACCAAUGUUAAGAUAUGACUAGGGGUAUGUAUUCUACAAAUGAACCCAACUGACUGACUUUAGUAGAAUUCUGGGAUGACUAGGGGUCUCAGUCCUGGGAGCAUCAGAUUUAAGUGGUUGAAUUAAAAUAUUAUUACCCUUAAAAACAACUUUCAUUUCAUUUAUUUCAAAUGUUGUUGCAAUGAGAUUCUUCUUAAAGAAAUGACCUCAUCACUCUUGGGUACAGUGGUAGCAUAAACCCCCAAGUGAGAUAUAAGGCCUCUUCCAUCAUGGGAAAUAAACUCAAUAUCCUCCAAACCAGUGUGCUGUAUUGGUUUCAUGCCACUCCAGGGAGCAUAUUUAAUAAUAUCACAUAGAUAAAAAUCUGUGUUUUGAUAUAGCUAGCAGGGCUAGCACUACUCCUCAUGCACAGCAGGUAUACACAUGUAAGGAGGCCAGGGGACCUUGGAGAUAAUGGAAUGAGAACUACAGGUCAGAGAUCACUACAGGAGCUAAGGCAUGGUUUAGUUAGGCAGGACUCAGCAGUGCAAACACAGGAGUAGGAGGAGGAGGAGCAGUGGGUCCUUCCACAACCUGCAGUCCCAGAGAGGGGUUGGGAGGAUGAGCUGGGCUAGAAAAUAGAACAGGAGAGGAUCCCCCUCUUUUCAAAGAUUUCCAUCUGUAUAAUUUAAAGGCUCAAUUCUAAGACUACUUAAAUUUCAAAUCAAUAAUUCGGGGUUCAACGGCACUGCUGUGAGCUGUGCUAUGAGCCACAACAGGCUCAUAGUUAAAAUGAAACCAAGCCUUACCUCCUUCAAGAGCUCCAUAAAAAUGGAGUUAAACGAAGUUUUGGUCCAGAGUGGAAAAAAGUUGCCUCCAGCUUAAUAACUGUAAGUUUUAAACAGAUCCCUUAGUGCAUAUGAUACAACAUAGAUAUUUAUUUACAUAUGCAUUCAACCAGGAGUCCAAUUAUUAAUACAUUAUAUUUUCCUUCAACAAAAUCUUGCCAUUGACCCUACACAAUCAAAAGGUCAGUGCUGGACUGAAGUGGCUUCAAACGGAUUCUUAGAAUAACCAGCACAAUGUGAACUGUAGUUAUAAACAUGCUGAAAACUGACUUAAGCUUUAAAGCUCAACAGGGCCCUAAACUUUGUAACGUUCUUGCAGUCAGUUAAAACAGAAAAUGGGAUUAACAGAAAAAGGAAUAAAGUAUUAACACAUAUUGUGAUAAACUAGUUCCGUUACUGGAAACUGUUCCAACAGGUGUGAAUGGGUGUUCAUGCCAUAAGCAAAUACUUUUCUCUCCCAGAAGUUAAAAUUACAUUGUUUGAGCUAUCUAAGUAUCUGAAUACUUUCCAGUUCAUAAGUAGAUUUUGGACCUGGCUCUUAUGCCACUCAUGCUGAAAUAAUUAGGUAAAUGCAACAGAUUUCCUUGGGUUCAUAUACUUUUGAGAUUAGAAAAUCCCAACAGUUCAAAUGCCAUGAACCCUUUAAUCUAACGAUGUUGGGUAUUGAUCUACAUUUAACAUUUUAGAUAAUGAAUUGUUGGUUUUGCUCAUUAUUCAUUUCAUGAGCCUGUCUCAUAAUAAUGUCUCAAUAUUUAUAAUGACUAAUGGAAAUUGAGCUUGUUAAUGUUUUGUCAUAUGAGCAUCUGAGUAUAGGAGUGCAUAUACAAAUGUUUUAUUUUCUGUUCAUUUUGUAACAGAGGUUAACUCGCAAAAGCCAAAUGUGAUGUCAAAAGUCAAGGUUCAGCUCAGCUUCCCCUGACAGCAGAGAUUAAAACCCUUCUGGAACUGAAUUGUAGUCUAAAUAGAUUAUAAUCUAUUUAUAGUCUGGUUCUCAAACACCUAAAGCUAUGUGUUGUUCUGUAGAGUAUAUUGGCCUGGUUCUUCUUGCACACAGUUAUAGAUGAGAUCUGGAGGUUUAAGGAAUUACAUCUGCAUGAAUGGAAAAUUAAGCCCACAUGCCUCUCUAAUAUAUUCUGUUACAUUUUAUAAACUUUAAAUGGUCUCCAUUAUAAUAUUUUACAACAGUGUUGCUAAUAUUACCCUGAACAAGGCUUCUGUCAUUAGCUGAAGUGUGACAUUCUUGGCAGUUGUAAUCCAGAUUUCAAGGUUUGUAAAAUAAGUUCAUUAUAGUAACAAAAAACAAAGGCAUGGGAAAAGAGUUUAAUUAUAAAUUCUACAAGGUGGAUUUGUAAGAUCUUGUUUCUACAUAUCAAAAUAGCGGUUAUCCUAAAAUGUGUCAGAAACACCAGUAUUUGUUUUCCUUUUUUGGUCAGGUAAGGAUACAUAACAAAUUGUAAUCCUGAUUUUAUCACUUGUCAAUGUGUAGCUGAAACAUCUGUCCUGACAGCUGUAGCAAGACUGAGUUUUACUUGCCUGUUCUUUUCUUCCACCAGUUAAACCCAUUGUCUCCUGCCUUUGAGACUUCCUGCUGCAUCAGGUAACCCCAGUUUUAUAUGGGAGAAUACUUUGUGAUUUGGUGUUUCCGCAACAUAAAAACAUCUUUACAAAGUCAUAGUAUCUUGCCUUCAGAUGAUGACUUUCCUAAGCAUUAGCUUUUGCGCUCAGUUGCAGAUGCAAAACAAACACUGUGAGGUAAAUUGGAGACCAGAUGGAGUUUUCAUUUACAAAGGAAAUUUUGGGGACUGUAGUUUAAAGCUCUCCUUUCUCUUUUUACUUAUGCAGUUGCUGUGUAUAAUUCUCCAAUUUAAAAUCAAAGUCUUUUGUGCUUUAAAGCAUAAGAUUUUCCAUGUGAUGCAAAAAAAAAAAAAACCAAAAAAAACCCAGAACAUUUCCAGGUGAUUUUUUUUUUUAUUGAUAUGGACUGUUGGUUAAUAGUUUAAAACAGAGCAAGCCAAGGAAAUAAUUUGUCCAGCCAUAGAUGGUUGUGAUAUUUGUAAGGAUCCCAGACACUUUUGAGUUUUGGUGGUGUUUCAUAUUCUGUUCCCUUCCUCUUAUGGUAUAGAAGUGCUUGGCUGUGGGUUUUGGGGCAGGGAGAGUGGGUUUUUUUGAGAGGGAGGCUGGAGUAGGUUCUUUUCAAGGGGUUGUUUUGGUGUUUUGUUUCAGUUUGAGGGGGUUUUUGUUGUUUUUGUGUGUGUGCAUAUGUGUGUGUGUGUUUGGUUUGCUUUUUAUGUUCUACUCUUUUUCUUUUUUCAUGUUAUUUCUCCUACUAAAAGAAAGUAUGCCCAAAGCCAGAUGCUUUCUGCUGGUGCAACAUAUGACGAAGCAGUAAGAGUAACAGAAGGCUUGGGCAGAAAUGAACAUAGUAUAAUUGCAAGAAGCAAAGUCAUCGCUUAAAUGGCUAUGCUGAGAGUAUAAAGACCAUUGUGCCAUAUCUGUGGUCAAAAAUGAGACUGAGGGAAGAUUUAGAGAAGGUAUAUUUUUUAAUUUCUGAAAUUUUGUCAAUCCACAAAAUCUAAUCUGUUAUCAGGUCUGUUAUCUGUAGUUGCCAGAAACAUUGAAAUAAAAAUGAAUUAACAGAAUUUCACAGAAUGUAAAUUUCUAAAUUUAUUUUCGUAUUCUGAAAUUAUUUAUUUAAAAAUGCUGUCAUUUUCAUUUAAAAUAUUUUACUUACAAUGUUUUUCACUAAGAAAAGAUUUUUUUUCUUAAAAUACUUUUUAAUAUCUGCACUUUAAUGUCUCUGCAAAAACAUUGGAAAAAUGGGAACAAUGUAAAUGGACUGCAAGUUUUAUGAGUUAUACCUCAUAUUUGACCAGUAAAGGCUAUAUUUUUUCCUAAAUCAUUACUCUUUCAGAAGCUCAGCAUAGGAAUUGUAUGCCAUGUAUACCUUCUUUUUUGAUUUGUAAGGCAUGAGUGGUACUUAGGUCAACGUGGUACUUGGGUUGACAUGUUAUUUAGCCUGACUUUGUGAGGGAGACUGAUUUUCACAUGUAGAAUAACUAUAUAGAGAGUAAUAAUACUGAAACAUUUCAAUAAGAGUAUCUAUAUGUAAAUAGUGCAGCUUAUUGAGUUGAUAUAAGUGAAAUAUAGCUUAAAUAAGCUAUGUGUUUGCCAUGCCUGCUGUUUUAUUAAAUCUUCUAAUCUUAUAUGCAAAGGUAACUGAAACAAAUGUAUAUUUUGUGCAUACUACAAUAAACUUCACAUUCUGAGA
Molecule: long non-coding RNA, 7066 nt
Organism: Melopsittacus undulatus (budgerigar)
Lineage: Eukaryota; Metazoa; Chordata; Aves; Psittaciformes; Psittaculidae
Exons: 2
Source: RefSeq, a predicted model, not a curated record